GACGAACGCUGGCGGCGUGCUUAACACAUGCAAGUCGAACGGAAAGGCCCUGCUUUUGUGGGGUGCUCGAGUGGCGCACGGGUGAGUAACACGUGAGUAACCUGCCCUUGACUUUGGGAUAACUUCAGGAAACUGUGGCUCAUACCGGAUAGGAGCUCCUGCUGCCUGGUGGGGGUUGGAAAGUUUCGGCGGUUGGGGAUGGACUCGCGGCUUAUCAGCUUGUUGGUGGGGUAGUGGCUUACCAAGGCUUUGACGGGUAGCAGGCCUGGGAGGGUGACCGGCCACAUGGGGACUGAGAGACGGCGCAGAAGCCUACGGGAGGCAGCAGUGGGGAAUAUUGCACAGUGGGCGGAAGCCUGAUGCAGCAACGCCGCGUGCGGGAUGACGGCCUUCGGGGUGUAAACAGAUGUCGCAUGUGACGAAGAGGGAGUGACGGUAAUGGGUAAAGAAGCACCGGCUAACUACGUG
This 468-nucleotide ribosomal RNA is filed under the name uncultured bacterium. RNAcentral describes it as "partial 16S ribosomal RNA". It matches the Rfam family "Bacterial small subunit ribosomal RNA", at positions 28 to 507 of the family's 1533-position model. The record is from RNAcentral.